Molecule: ribosomal RNA, 499 nt
Filed under: uncultured cyanobacterium
Lineage: Bacteria; Bacillati; Cyanobacteriota
Description: bacterial SSU rRNA
Rfam family: Bacterial small subunit ribosomal RNA
Source: RNAcentral
UGGGGAAUUUUCCGCAAUGGGCGAAAGCCUGACGGAGCAAUACCGCGUGAGGGAUGAAGGCCUUUGGGUUGUGAACCUCUUUUAUCAAGGAUGAAGUCCUGACGUGUACUUGAUGAAUAAGCAUCGGCUAACUCCGUGCCAGCAGCCGCGGUAAGACGGAGGAUGCAAGUGUUAUCCGGAAUCACUGGGCGUAAAGCGUCUGUAGGUGGUUUAAAAAGUCCACUGUUAAAAAUUGAAGCUUAACUUCAAAGAUGCCGUGGAAACUUUUAAACUUGAGUAUGAUAGGGGUAGAGGGAAUUUCCAGUGGAGCGGUGAAAUGCGUAGAUAUUGGAAAGACCACCAAUGGCGAAGGCACUCUACUGGGCCAUUACUGACACUGAGAGACGAAAGCUAGGGUAGCGAAUGGGAUUAGAUACCCCAGUAGUCCUAGCUGUAAACGAUGGAUACUAGAUGUUGUGUGUAUUGACCCAUGCAGUAUCGUAGCUAACGCGUUAAGUAU